Molecule: microRNA precursor, 103 nt
Filed under: Marmota monax (woodchuck)
Lineage: Eukaryota; Metazoa; Chordata; Mammalia; Rodentia; Sciuridae
Source: RNAcentral
AGUGGGAUAGCUGGGUCAAAUGGUGAUUCCAUUCCAAGUUUUCCAAGGAAUCUCCAUACUGCUUUCCAGAUUGUCUGCACCAUUUUGCAGUCCCACCAUCAAU